GACGAACGCUGGCGGCGUGCUUAACACAUGCAAGUCGAACGGUAAGGCCCUUCGGGGUACACGAGUGGCGAACGGGUGAGUAACACGUGGGUGAUCUGCCCUGCACUUCGGGAUAAGCCUGGGAAACUGGGUCUAAUACCGGAUAGGACCACUGCCUGCAUGGGUGGUGGUGGAAAGCUUUUGCGGUGUGGGAUGGGCCCGCGGCCUAUCAGCUUGUUGGUGGGGUGAUGGCCUACCAAGGCGACGACGGGUAGCCGGCCUGAGAGGGUGACCGGCCACACUGGGACUGAGAUACGGCCCAGACUCCUACGGGAGGCAGCAGUGGGGAAUAUUGCACAAUGGGCACAAGCCUGAUGCAGCGACGCCGCGUGAGGGAUGACGGCCUUCGGGUUGUAAACCUCUUUCAGCACCGACGAAGCGCAAGUGACGGUAGGUGCAGAAGAAGGACCGGCCAACUACGUGCCAGCCGCCGCGGUAA
Molecule: ribosomal RNA, 478 nt
Filed under: uncultured bacterium
Lineage: Bacteria
Description: partial 16S ribosomal RNA
Rfam family: Bacterial small subunit ribosomal RNA
Source: RNAcentral